Mustela erminea (ermine) is the source of this 87-nucleotide long non-coding RNA. RefSeq lists it as uncharacterized. The transcript is spliced from 3 exons. Lineage: Eukaryota; Metazoa; Chordata; Mammalia; Carnivora; Mustelidae. The record is from RefSeq and is a predicted model, not a curated record.
GGCAAAGCGGAAGUGAAUCUAGCACCCAGCACAGACCCUAAAGCAAGGAACGAAGUCAAACUCUACACAGGAAUUUAGAAUGGGAAG